GAUUGUGUAGUGUAGUGGCCGGCACGCGGAUUUGCGCACCGAGGUAUGGGUUCGACCCCCAUCACAAUCA
Molecule: transfer RNA, 70 nt
Filed under: Runella slithyformis DSM 19594
Lineage: Bacteria; Pseudomonadati; Bacteroidota; Cytophagia; Cytophagales; Spirosomataceae
Description: tRNA-Ala (TGC) (tRNA-Ala-TGC-2-1)
Rfam family: tRNA
About the family: Transfer RNA (tRNA) molecules are approximately 80 nucleotides in length. Their secondary structure includes four short double-helical elements and three loops (D, anti-codon, and T loops).
Source: Rfam by way of RNAcentral